GACGAACGCUGGCGGCGUGCUUAACACAUGCAAGUCGAGCGGUAAGGCCCUUUCGGGGGUACACGAGCGGCGAACGGGUGAGUAACACGUGGGUGACCUGCCCUCAGCUCUGGGAUAAGCCUGGGAAGCUGGGUCUAAUACUGGAUAUGACUCCACGGUGCAUGUCGUGGGGUGGAAAGCCUUGUGCGGCUGAGGAUGGGCCCGCGGCCUAUCAGCUUGUUGGUGGGGUGAUGGCCUACCAAGGCGACGACGGGUAGCCGGCCUGAGAGGGCGACCGGCCACACUGGGACUGAGACACGGCCCAGACUCCUACGGGAGGCAGCAGUGGGGAAUCUUGCGCAAUGGGCGAAAGCCUGACGCAGCGACGCCGCGUGAGGGAUGACGGCCU
This 388-nucleotide ribosomal RNA is filed under the name uncultured bacterium. RNAcentral's name for it is "bacterial SSU rRNA". It matches the Rfam family "Bacterial small subunit ribosomal RNA", at positions 28 to 417 of the family's 1533-position model. The record is from RNAcentral.